ACGGGUGAGUAAUGUCUGGGAAACUGCCUGAUGGAGGGGAUAACUACUGGAAACGGUAGCUAAUACCGCAUAACGUCGCAAGACCAAAGAGGGGGACCUUCGGGCCUCUUGCCAUCGGAUGUGCCCAGAUGGGAUUAGCUAGUAGGUGGGGUAACGGCUCACCUAGGCGACGAUCCCUAGCUGGUCUGAGAGGAUGACCAGCCACACUGGAACUGAGACACGGUCCAGACUCCUACGGGAGGCAGCAGUGGGGAAUAUUGCACAAUGGGCGCAAGCCUGAUGCAGCCAUGCCGCGUGUAUGAAGAAGGCCUUCGGGUUGUAAAGUACUUUCAGCGGGGAGGAAGGCGAUAAGGUUAAUAACCUUGUCGAUUGACGUUACCCGCAGAAGAAGCACCGGCUAACUCCGUGCCAGCAGCCGCGGUAAUACGGAGGGUGCAAGCGUUAAUCGGAAUUACUGGGCGUAAAGCGCACGCAGGCGGUCUGUCAAGUCGGAUGUGAAAUCCCCGGGCUCAACCUGGGAACUGCAUUCGAAACUGGCAGGCUAGAGUCUUGUAGAGGGGGGUAGAAUUCCAGGUGUAGCGGUGAAAUGCGUAGAGAUCUGGAGGAAUACCGGUGGC
This 617-nucleotide ribosomal RNA is filed under the name uncultured bacterium. RNAcentral's name for it is "bacterial SSU rRNA". It matches the Rfam family "Bacterial small subunit ribosomal RNA", at positions 102 to 716 of the family's 1533-position model. The record is from RNAcentral.